Dermacentor albipictus is the source of this 769-nucleotide non-coding RNA. Lineage: Eukaryota; Metazoa; Arthropoda; Arachnida; Ixodida; Ixodidae. The record is from RefSeq and is a predicted model, not a curated record.
ACAAUGCAGUGGAGAAGGCGGCACAUUCUAGGUUGCGUUAUCAAAACUGCAGUUUAGGAGGACUGGCAGCAAAACCUCGACAAGUCCCAGUUUCCGCGGUCAGACGAGCCGCUUCCUCUAGUGCUACGCAUGGUGCUACGCGCUCGUCGCGUCCAACAGAUCCUGUGGCUGGGCAUGACGUAAAGGUCAAAUUGUCACCGUGGCUAGCAACUCGAAGAUGCGCCUUCUGUCGCAACCUUGGGAACAGGGCAGCUUCUCGGAAGAUAUGUCGAUAUGUGCUUCUUGCCCUGUCUUUUGGGCAGUGGGGAACCAUUUGCUGACCAACGUGUGUUCUACACCGUCGACAGACGCCAAGGAAGCGCUGACCAAGGAUCAGCGAGAACACAGCAGUCGAUUUUUUAACGAAACCAUUAAUAACCACAUGCGCGCGUCAGGAGCCCGCCAUCUACCCGCUUAUCUGUCAGCUGGAAGCGGCAUUCGGAAGAAGCGCGCGGAAGGAAAGCGAAUUGACGACCCAGCGGCCUCGGCGGAAGUGCAGAAAAGUCGCGGCUGGCCCACAGGCUGGGCCUUCGCACUUUCUCCACGAGACGCUGUUCAGCGGAACAGCGCGUUACAGACGCACUCAUGUAGUUGGCAGAGCGGCUACCCAAAUUGUAACUGACGUAUACGCAGGAUAAACGGGCACAUCGAAAGCAAGCGAAUAUCGAACAAAAAUGGAAACCAAUUAUUGAACUCCUGGUUCCUUAGGCUUCCGGGGAGCCAAUGAGCG